CCUACGGGAUCAGCAGUGGGGAAUAUUGGACAAUGGGCGAAAGCCUGAUCCAGCCAUGCCGCGUGUGUGAAGAAGGCCUUCGGGUUGUAAAGCACUUUCAGUGGGGAAGAAAGCCUUGGGGCUAAUACCCUCGAGGAAGGACAUCACCCACAGAAGAAGCACCGGCUAACUCCGUGCCAGCAGCCGCGGUAAUACGGAGGGUGCGAGCGUUAAUCGGAAUUACUGGGCGUAAAGCGCGCGUAGGCGGUCUGAUAAGUCGGUUGUGAAAGCCCCGGGCUCAACCUGGGAACGGCAUCCGGAACUGUCAGGCUAGAGUGCAGGAGAGGAAGGUAGAAUUCCCGGUGUAGCGGUGAAAUGCGUAGAGAUCGGGAGGAAUACCAGUGGCGAAGGCGGCCUUCUGGACUGACACUGACGCUGAGGUGCGAAAGCGUGGGUAGCAAACAGGAUUAGAUACCCGAGUAGUC
RNAcentral lists this ribosomal RNA (464 nucleotides) under Vreelandella stevensii. RNAcentral's name for it is "partial 16S ribosomal RNA". It matches the Rfam family "Bacterial small subunit ribosomal RNA", at positions 338 to 795 of the family's 1533-position model. Lineage: Bacteria; Pseudomonadati; Pseudomonadota; Gammaproteobacteria; Oceanospirillales; Halomonadaceae. The record is from RNAcentral.